GUCAUUAGAGAAGUAAAGUCGUACCAGGUUCCGAGGGACCUGCGGAAGGUCAUUA
This 55-nucleotide ribosomal RNA is filed under the name uncultured Glomus. Its description in RNAcentral is "partial 18S ribosomal RNA". Lineage: Eukaryota; Fungi; Glomeromycota; Glomeromycetes; Glomerales; Glomeraceae. The record is from RNAcentral.